GAAGGUGUGCUGUGAGGCAUGCUGGAGGUAUCAGAAGUGCGAAUGCUGACAUAAGUAACGAUAAAGCGGGUGAAAAGCCCGCUCGCCGGAAGACCAAGGGUUCCUGUCCAACGUUAAUCGGGGCAGGGUGAGUCGACCCCUAAGGCGAGGCCGAAAGGCGUAGUCGAUGGGAAACAGGUUAAUAUUCCUGUACUUGGUGUUACUGCGAAGGGGGGACGGAGAAGGCUAUGUUGGCCGGGCGACGGUUGUCCCGGUUUAAGCGUGUAGGCUGGUUUUCCAGGCAAAUCCGGAAAAUCAAGGCUGAGGCGUGAUGACGAGGCACUACGGUGCUGAAGCAACAAAUGCCCUGCUUCCAGGAAAAGCCUCUAAGCAUCAGGUAACAUCAAAUCGUACCCCAAACCGACACAGGUGGUCAGGUAGAGAAUACCAAGGCGCUUGAGAGAACUCGGGUGAAGGAACUAGGCAAAAUGGUGCCGUAACUUCGGGAGAAGGCACGCUGAUAUGUAGGUGAAGUCCCUUGCGGAUGGAGCUGAAAUCAGUCGAAGAUACCAGCUGGCUGCAACUGUUUAUUAAAAACACAGCACUGUGCAAACACGAAAGUGGACGUAUACGGUGUGACGCCUGCCCGGUGCCGGAAGGUUAAUUGAUGGGGUCAGCGCAAGCGAAGCUCUUGAUCGAAGCCCCGGUAAACGGCGGCCGUAACUAUAACGGUCCUAAGGUAGCGAAAUUCCUUGUCGGGUAAGUUCCGACCUGCACGAAUGGCGUAAUGAUGGCCAGGCUGUCUCCACCCGAGACUCAGUGAAAUUGAACUCGCUGUGAAGAUGCAGUGUACCCGCGGCAAGACGGAAAGACCCCGUGAACCUUUACUAUAGCUUGACACUGAACAUUGAGCCUUGAUGUGUAGGAUAGGUGGGAGGCUUGGAAGUGUGGACGCCAGUCUGCAUGGAGCCGACCUUGAAAUACCACCCUUUAAUGUUUGAUGUUCUAACGUUGACCCGUGAUCCGGGUUGCGGACAGUGUCUGGUGGGUAGUUUGACUGGGGCGGUCUCCUCCUAAAGAGUAACGGAGGAGCACGAAGGUUGGCUAAUCCUGGUCGGACAUCAGGAGGUUAGUGCAAUGGCAUAAGCCAGCUUGACUGCGAGCGUGACGGCGCGAGCAGGUGCGAAAGCAGGUCAUAGUGAUCCGGUGGUUCUGAAUGGAAGGGCCAUCGCUCAACGGAUAAAAGGUACUCCGGGGAUAACAGGCUGAUACCGCCCAAGAGUUCAUAUCGACGGCGGUGUUUGGCACCUCGAUGUCGGCUCAUCACAUCCUGGGGCUGAAGUAGGUCCCAAGGGUAUGGCUGUUCGCCAUUUAAAGUGGUACGCGAGCUGGGUUUAGAACGUCGUGAGACAGUUCGGUCCCUAUCUGCCGUGGGCGCUGGAGAACUGAGGGGGGCUGCUCCUAGUACGAGAGGACCGGAGUGGACGCAUCACUGGUGUUCGGGUUGUCAUGCCAAUGGCACUGCCCGGUAGCUAAAUGCGGAAGAGAUAAGUGCUGAAAGCAUCUAAGCACGAAACUUGCCCCGAGAUGAGUUCUCCCUGACUCCUUGAGAGUCCUGAAGGAACGUUGAAGACGACGACGUUGAUAGGCCGGGUGUGUAAGCGCAGCGAUGCGUUGAGCUAACCGGUACUAAUGAACCGUGAGGCUUAACCUUACAACGCCGAAGGUGUUU
This 1711-nucleotide ribosomal RNA is filed under the name Escherichia coli. Its description in RNAcentral is "partial 23S ribosomal RNA". It matches the Rfam family "Bacterial large subunit ribosomal RNA", at positions 1252 to 2925 of the family's 2925-position model. Lineage: Bacteria; Pseudomonadati; Pseudomonadota; Gammaproteobacteria; Enterobacterales; Enterobacteriaceae. The record is from RNAcentral.